This 243-nucleotide ribosomal RNA is filed under the name uncultured bacterium. RNAcentral's name for it is "partial 16S ribosomal RNA". It matches the Rfam family "Bacterial small subunit ribosomal RNA", at positions 796 to 1041 of the family's 1533-position model. The record is from RNAcentral.
CACGCUGUAAACGAUGUGUGCUAGAUGUCUGGUCCGUAGGGGCUGGGUGUCGCAGUUAACGCUUUAAGCACACCGCCUGGGGAGUACGGCCGCAAGGCUAAAACUCAAAGGAAUUGACGGGGGCCCGCACAAGCAGCGGAGCGUGUGGUUUAAUUCGAUGCAACGCGAAGAACCUUACCUGGGUUUGACAUGGACCUGCAAGGCCGCGAGAGCGGUUCGCCUACGAGGGUGGUUCACAGGUGC